Molecule: ribosomal RNA, 254 nt
Filed under: uncultured bacterium
Lineage: Bacteria
Description: partial 16S ribosomal RNA
Rfam family: Bacterial small subunit ribosomal RNA
Source: RNAcentral
UACGUAGGACCCAAGCGUUAUCCGGAGUGACUGGGCGUAAAGAGUUGCGUAGGCGGACAAGUAAGCGAAUAGUGAAAUCUGGUGGCUCAACCAUCAACACAUUGUUCGAACUGCUGGUCUCGAGAAUGGUAGAGGUAGCUGGAAUUUCUUGUGUAGGAGUGAAAUCCGUAGAUAUAAGAAGGAACACCAAUGGCGUAGGCAGGCUACUGGACCAUUUCUGACGCUGAGGCACGAAAGCGUGGGGAGCGAACCGG